CUGAGUUCCAGUAUGUUAGUGCUAUCAUGCCAACUCCUCAUCACUCACUGUCAUGUUUGGCUUGACAAGGACAGCAGUGGAGUUGGCAAGAGCACAAACAGAUCUGGGACCAGGCUAUGUGGGGGUGGGGGGUGGGAGGGGUUUGAUGUGAUAUCUGUCUGACAUCAUAACCAAACUGUCCUAUCAGGGAAAAGUAGUGUGACAACCUCAAAGCCAGCAUUCUUAACCAUGCUUGUCCUUGUUUGUGUCCCAAUAAUCUAUCCUUCCUCCUGAAGGGUGAACUUGUUCACUGAUCCCCAUGAAUCUAAAAGCAUUGGAUUGGUGGAGACAUGGGCUCGCUAGACUAUAGAAUUUUACACAAUAUUUCUUACACAAGUCAUUUCGUUUCAAAGUCCUUGAAGGGAAGUUAUCAAGUGCACACUUUUAGAGAAAGGAGAGAUUAUUGGGACGUGAACCCUAGUUAUCAGUUGGUUUGGUUGGUUUUUAAUCAGUGACCAUCAGUGUCAUAGGGUCAUAUGAAGCAGGAGGGGUGGAGAUAUGUCCUCUACCCCACCCCAAUAUCUCCAGCCUUAUCCAAGACCAGACCUGUGUGCUGUAAGUGCCAUUGAACCAUGUUCUUUGUACCCCAACGGAUGUAGUCAGUAUGUAUUUUCUGCAUAAGGCCCAUAUUGAUUAAUGUUUGUUUACUUGGUUGGACUCAUUUUCACUUGUUAAGUUGGGUUUCGUCCCAAAUGGCACCCUUCAGUAUUCCCUUUAUAGUGCACUAUAGGGCUCUGGUUAAAAGUAGUACAGUAGGGAAUACAAGACGAUAGCAUGAAUAAGGACUCCUUCGUGUGUGCGUGAACAAAGAGGAACAAAGAGAGAAUAGGACGAAAGGUUUUUACAGUAUUUAAGGGGAUUUUCCUGUAUUUGAGCGUCAGACAUUAUUAGAUGAGUGCACUUGUUUUACAAAAUGGUGGCAAGCUAACCCGCACUUCAGGUAACAAACGUUAGUGAACGUGGUCCCUGUGUUUUAUGAAGUGUUUCAGUUGACUUGACCUUUACAGUGUUACAGAAUUAUUUUCAGUUUGGUUUUUUAGUUUAGAGUUUUCUAUAUGUGUGUGUCCUGUGUAUGUUUUCAACCAUGGCAGUAUUAGAAACCUUUUCCAUGAGGAAAGCGUACCUGUUUAGUUUUUAGAGGACUUUUUAUAUUUACGUGUCUUAUUUUUCUAUUUCUUUAUGCUUAUUUAUUACACACAUUGUAGUGUACAAUAGUGUAGUGUGAAUUGAUACAAUAAUAUAUUUUAGUAUGAAAAAUGAUUUGAAGGUCAUUGAAUCCAGAGUAGGAAGUGGCGCUCUGGGGGCGAUGAAGUUUGUUUUGAAAAAGGUAUUAACAUGAAAAGAAGAAGAAAUAAAUGAAGAGAGAAACGGAAAGUGUUUCAUCCAUCAUCAGGCUGGUUAGACUGACCUGUUCUUACUGUGAUAUGAAGCUACUGAAAACUAACUGUGUGACUAAAACGCAUGAGUCCUUGCUGUUGUAAUGAAGGAUUGAUCUCGUUAUGAAGAUGUACGUUAAACUCCUUUUUUUCUUUUUUUUUCAAAGCCAAAAUUAGAUUCUCAUGUCCUUUGUCGUUCUGUUUUGUGCCAAUUUGUUACGUUGUACUGUUAUAUGUCAGAGGUUACGAUUUGUUUUAUACAUUUCCCGUUUAAUCCACUCUGUUUUUAUAGUUUUAUUUUGUUUUAUUUUGUUCCAUUUUUUUACUACUUCCCAUCACAAUAAAAUACAAGAAAGCAUUUCUGAGAUGGGCUG
Oncorhynchus tshawytscha (Chinook salmon) is the source of this 1789-nucleotide long non-coding RNA. NCBI's taxonomy places the organism in Eukaryota, Metazoa, Chordata, Actinopteri, Salmoniformes, Salmonidae. The record is from Ensembl.